UACGUAGGUGGCAAGCGUUGUCCGGAUUUACUGGGCGUAAAGAGCGCGCAGGCGGUCGUUCAAGUCGCGUGUGAAAGCCCCCGGCUCAACUGGGGAGGGUCACGCGAUACUGAUCGACUCGAAGGCAGGAGAGGGUAGUGGAAUUCCCGGUGUAGUGGUGAUAUGCGUAGAUAUCGGGAGGAACACCAGUGGCGAAGGCGGCUUUCUGGGCAUUUCCUGACGCUGAGACGCGAAAGCGUGGGGAGCAAACAGG
RNAcentral lists this ribosomal RNA (253 nucleotides) under uncultured bacterium. RNAcentral describes it as "partial 16S ribosomal RNA". It matches the Rfam family "Bacterial small subunit ribosomal RNA", at positions 524 to 776 of the family's 1533-position model. The record is from RNAcentral.